AAAGGUCUCGGUAGGUGACCUGCGGAGGGUCAUUACACAAAUAUGAAGGCGGGCUGGAACCUCUCGGGGUUACAGCCUUGCUGAAUUAUUCACCCUUGUCUUUUGCGUACUUCUUGUUUCCUUGGUGGGUUCGCCCACCACUAGGACAAACAUAAACCUUUUGUAAUUGCAAUCAGCGUCAGUAACAAAUUAAUAAUUACAACUUUCAACAACGGAUCUCUUGGUUCUGGCAUCGAUGAAGAACGCAGCGAAAUGCGAUAAGUAGUGUGAAUUGCAGAAUUCAGUGAAUCAUCGAAUCUUUGAACGCACAUUGCGCCCUUUGGUAUUCCAAAGGGCAUGCCUGUUCGAGCGUCAUUUGUACCCUCAAGCUUUGCUUGGUGUUGGGCGUCUUGUCUCUAGCUUUGCUGGAGACUCGCCUUAAAGUAAUUGGCAGCCGGCCUACUGGUUUCGGAGCGCAGCACAAGUCGCACUCUCUAUCAGCAAAGGUCUAGCAUCCAUUAAGCCUUUUUUUCAACUUUUGACCUCGGAUCAGGUAGGGAUACCCGCUGAACUUAA
Molecule: ribosomal RNA, 555 nt
Filed under: Alternaria tenuissima
Lineage: Eukaryota; Fungi; Ascomycota; Dothideomycetes; Pleosporales; Pleosporaceae
Description: eukaryotic LSU rRNA
Rfam family: 5.8S ribosomal RNA (bases 201-354)
Source: RNAcentral